This 9839-nucleotide long non-coding RNA is filed under the name Lathyrus oleraceus (garden pea). RNAcentral's name for it is "Pisum sativum (pea) long non-coding RNA (PSAT_LNC008544)". The record is from RNAcentral. Lineage: Eukaryota; Viridiplantae; Streptophyta; Magnoliopsida; Fabales; Fabaceae.
GAACAUUGGUUAUUCUCAAACCCUACUCUUACCAGAAACAUUAUUUGUUUCUAUGUAUAGUCCAAUCUCAUUCACUUUCAUUAUCAACAAUUCAAAUACUCAAGAACCAUGACAAACAGUAGAAAGAUUGAGUAUGUAGAUUAACAAAGGAUUUUAGUGGCUGUGGAUGAGAGUAAGGAAAGCAUGUUUGCGCUUUCUUGGUGCAUCACAUAUCUUAUUCCUGACACUACAAAUGUUAAACUAGUUCUGCUCUAUCUAUGCCAAACCAACUCCUGCUAUACACUCUUUCAUUGCAACAGGUUGGUUUUACUCUCUUCUGAUUCAGUUAUAAAACUUGUUUGUGUUGUUUGAGGUAAAUGAUUGAGUUUUGUUUCCAUAUUUUGACUAAUUUCAUUGUUGUGAUUUCAUGUUUAAGAAGCUGUUGCGUCCUUAAAGAAGAAACGACUUGUAGUAGGUACCAUCGACAUUGACACUGCGAUUCUGCAAAUAAUUUUAAAAAAUAAAUAAAUUAAAACCGAGCGUAUCCUGUUAGUGAGGAAACCGACUAAUAUGCAUAAACAACUAUGUUGUUGUCAUAGAAAAAGUGAGAAACAUCCCUCCAAACAGUUACAAACUAGGGUGGCAUAUAGAGACAAGAGAGGAAAGAGAUGAAACCAAAAAAAAAUGGAGACCUACCGGAGCAGUACAUUAUUCCAUAUUUUUAAGUGACAGAAAUCCCAACUGUCUCGGUCAUAGCAUGUUACAACUGUUUCUAGGUAUUAUCACAACCAGACACUAAUAAGAGAUAGCUACCUAAUGAUGAGGCCAUCUUUAUCUUAUUAUGCCAUUUCGUAUUCUAAGGGAUCAUUAAAUUAUGCCUCGUGGCAGCAGCUUCUCCAUACGGUUUCAUGCUUACCUUAAGUCUCUAUAUCGCAUUAGAAACACAUAAAUACUCUAGAGGAAGAGGAAGAUGUUUCAUAUACUCGACCAUGCUUUUGUUGGGUAUUAGCCUCGUUUCUUACGCGAAGAAAGGCACAAAUCUCAUAUGUGUCUCACAUUACUUAAAAAACAGUGGAGAAAAGGUGGAGAUUGACCGAUUAAUCUAUCUUGAAUAUUUUUUUAAAAAUAACGUAAUAUUUUAAAAAAUAUUAAAAUAAUCAUAUUUUAAAUAAAAAUUCCAACAUAAAAGGAGUAGCCAAAGGGUAUGUUAUAUUUUAAAAAUAACCAAAUAACAAGUACAAAAAGUAUGAGAAAAUUUCUAUUAAGGAAUUUUAGUAAGAAAUUUGGAAAUGUGUUGUUUGUGAGAGAGAAUGUUUUUAAGUAUUUGUAUCAUUUAUUUAUUAUAAAUUUUAAUGUAUUUUCACAUUAUUUUUACUAAACCCAAUAAAUCUAAGGUUUUUUUAUCGAGAAAACCCAGUUUUUCAAGGAAAUUUUCAAAAUACCCCUAGUUUCAAAAAAAAUCCCAAAAUAUCCCACUUUUAGGAGGAGUCUCCAAUUGAAUUGGCGACUCCUCUUAAAAUUUGAAUGGAGGCGCCAAUCCAAUUGGCGCCUAUGUGUAGGUUUUAAGAGGAGUCUCCAAUUCAAUUGGCGACUCCUUCAUAAAAGUCUCAAAUGAUAAAACCUCCAACAUGAAAGUUGUAGAUCUUUUCAAGACAAUGAAUUUGGACAUAAAUUUUGCAUCAUUUGGAUUUUUUAUGAGAAAGUUAUGGGCACUUGAAGUUGGACUUCUGAUUUUUUCAACUAUUAUCUGACCUAUAAUGUUUUGUAUUAUCUUUUCAAGACAAUGAAUUUGGACAUAAAUUUUGCAUCAUUUGGAUUUUUUAUGAGAAAGUUAUGGGCACUUGAAGUUGGACUUCUGAUUUUUUCAACUAUUAUCUGACCUAUAAUGUUUUGUAUUAUCCCAUGUGUUUAUUUUAGAAUUAUGAAAUUUUGUCCAACAUAACAAUUGAAGUAGACAUCUCAAAAUUUCCAAUGCACUUGGUCCCACCUCAAAAUCAUAAAAAAUGAAGGAGUUAGGUCCUUGGGAAGUUGACCCAAAAUUAGGGUUUUAGUCAAAACAUGUGUAUGUGAAUUUUACCAAAAUGGACCAACUUCAAGCCCUUCUGUUUGAAUGAUAAAAGCCUUAAAUGACAAAACCUUCAACAUAAAAGUUGUAGAUCUUUUCAAGACAAUGAAUUUGGACUUGAAUUUUGCAUCAUUUGCAUUUUGUAUGAGAAAGUUAUGGGCACUUGAAGUUGGACUUUUUCACAUUUCAAUUGUUAUGUGACCUAUAAUGUUUUGUAUUAUCAGAUGUGUUUCUUUUAGAAUUAUGAAAUUUUGUCCAACAUAACAAGUGAAGUAGACAUCUCAAACUUUCCAAUUCACUUAGUCCCACCUCAAAAGAAUAAAAAAUGAGUGCGUUAGGUCCUUGGGAAGUUGACCCAAAAUUAGGGUUUUAGUCAAAACAUGUGUAUGUGAGUUUUGCCAAAAUAGAGUUUACACAAAGAAACCUAAAGUUUGGAGUUUACACAAAGAUAAAUUUGAUAUAAUACAACUUGAUAUUAAUAAAGUUUGGAGUUUACACAAAGAAACCUAAUGGUGAUGACCGGGAUCACCUAACCGACCUCCGGUCCACAUCCCCUAGCUACCCUAACCAUUUGCCCUAACCCACGUUGACGAUUCUGCACCGGUGUUUGUUCAUCUGAGGGGCCAGGAGCGUCACUACCAACUACAGGAGAAGGUCCAUUGAUGUAUUCAGACAACUCAGCAUAGUCUUCAGUAUGCAAUGAUGGUGUACCGCCGUAGCUGAGCUCAUGACCCAUGCCAGAGAAGUUGGGAUGUGGUUGACUCAUGGAUGGGCGACCGGGACGGUUGAAGUCAACUCAGCAUAGUCUUCAGUAUGCAAUGAUGGUGUACCGCCGUAGCUGAGCUCAUGACCCAUGCCAGAGAAGUUGGGAUGUGGUUGACUCAUGGAUGGGCGACCGGGACGGUUGAAGGGAGACAUGAGUGUGAAUGAUGCGUCUAGGAACAGUUGGAAAGGUUGUUGGGGUGUUUGGUAGAGAUAGGGUUGUGGGAUGUUUUGGUUUUGUGAUGUUUGGGCUUCUUGGCUACGGUAGGAGGAGGGGGGUUGAUGUUUUGACUAAGGCGACUUUGGUAGGGUGAUGGUGUGGGUGCGAAGCGAUGUUGGGUCUCAGGUUGAUGGUCAAUUUGUUGGUGGUGGUAUGGAGUAUGUUCUUGGUAUUGGGGUUGGGUGAAUGACAUGUUUUGGUUGUAUGUUUGUGUGUGUGUGGAACGGAAAGUUUGACGGAUAUGGGGUUGUGAGUAACCGGGCUGAGAAUGUUGUUGGGGGUUAGAUGUUGAUCCUUCUUAUGUGUAACUUUCCUGGCAUGGGUCGUAGAGGUACAUAUCUUCGGCGAUGAAUUGAAAACCAACCGAUCUAUACCAAGCCAUAUAAGUACGACUUGGUUUUACCUCAUUUGGCAUGACUGCGUCAGUUAAGACAUGGUCAUGACGGUGCUUCCACUUGCGACACUCCGAUCUUGCGAAGUUUUGCCAAGGGUUGAAGUUCCAUUGUUCGUUCACUUUACGCAUAUGCCAUUCUCCUAGGCUAGCUGGGGGAUCUGGGAUAUUCUGGACCAUACCGAACUGCAGCUUCACACGAUCGGUGUUGUGCAUCUCCGCAGUUGUGAAUUGUAUUAUCGGUGUGCAUGUUGUCCAUACGGUUGCAUCUUCAGCGUUGACCUCAUGAUCCAGAUUAAGGUAUGGAUGCCAAAUGAACUGAAAUGUUAAAGAAGAUAGGAUUAUAAUGAAUGUAGAAAAAGUUAACAUAAUAUAACGAAAUAAUUAAGUUAUUUUCCUUACGUCUGUCGGUCGAAGGUGAUCCAACAGGUUGCGAUACUGAGUAAUACAGUGUCUCGGACAUCUGUUGUAACUCAUACCACGUGCCGACCAUCUACACCAAAAAGUUAAAAAAAAAUAGUUUGAGGUAAUAAAAUUUAAGGAAGUAAGUAAAGAUAUAGCAAUUUAAACAACUUACUUUUGUGCAUAUGGAAAAGUGAAAGGGUUGUUAUUGACCAGUGUUAGAGACGGUAGUCUUGACCAACCCCAUGCUUGUAGCAAAACAGCACAUCCAGAAAAUGUAGAUGUGUCUUUGUGGGAGUUUUUGCACAACGAACUAUAGAGAUAGGCUAGACAAGCAGAUCCCCAACUGUAACUUCCUAUUCUAUCUACAUGUCUAAGUAGAGGUAAGUACAUAAUAUGCAUGCUAGAACCACUACCUUCGGGAAAUAAAAAGGAUCCUAUUAACAACAUAAUGUAACACCUAGUUUUUAUUAUUCGAGCAUCUUCGGUAGAAUGCUCAUCUAAGUAUAAACUAUUAUAAUAUGACUUUAGGCGUGAGAGUAGUAUACCUUGACCUCUAGCAUUAUCAUCUAACAAAUCAGUGUCUAAGAGCUCCAUGCAAAUUGAAUUUGCAUAGUUGGUCUUACCAUUAACANNNNNNNNNNNNNNNNNNNNNNNNNNNNNNNNNNNNNNNNNNNNNNNNNNNNNNNNNNNNNNNNNNNNNNNNNNNNNNNUAUAAUAGAAAGAAUAAAACACUUGACUAAGUUGGUAUGUCAAAAUAAAAUGGGGUUGGUGAAGAUGAAAGAUAAAAAGUUAACAAAAGAAAAAACUUACAUAUGUUGCGAUGUUUGCAACUGUUCCUCUAUGUGUUUCGCCCAUUGUGAGUAAAGACAUAUUGUUGGGGAGUUGGUGUAGAUGAAACUAGAAGAUGUUGUUGAAGAUGAAAUUGUAAAAGAAGUAUUGUAGAGGAAGUAGUGAGAGUGAUAGUGUGGAAGAAGUGUUGAAGGAGUGGAUGUAUUUAUAGGCAAAUGGAUGGGAGCAUGAAAAUUUGGGUUUGCAUGGUGUCUCCAUAUGAAUUGGCGACCAUGUACAAUCCUUAAGAGGGGUCUCCAUUCAAAUUGGCGCCUCCAUAGGGACAUGCAUGCAAGGCUAGGUCUGAAUGCUUGGUUUCGAGGUCUGAAUGCAUGGUGUCUCCACUUGAAUUGGCGACCAUGUACAAGGAUUAAGUGGACGCGCCAAUCCAUUUGGAGACACCAUCUGCAUGUCUGACAUGUGGCUGUCUUGUCUCCUGCAUGCUGAACAAGUCACUUGUUGAUGACUUGCAUGGUUGACACAUCAUCUUUGACUAUCUUACAUGUUCGACACGUGGCUGUCUUGUCUCCUGCAUGCUGAAGAGUCACUUCUUGAUAGCUUGCAUGAUUGACACAUCAUCUCAGACUAUCUUGCAUGACUGACACAUCAUCUCAGACUAUCUUACGUGUCCGACACGUCAUCUCAGACUAGCUUGCAUGUCCGACACAUCAUCUCAGAACUAGCUAGCAUGUGAGACACUGAUACCAUCUAUUUAAAUGUCUUACUAUCAACAUCCAAGACACUUCACUCACAUUCAUCUGCAGUAAGAAAAUAGUUUUCAUCUCCAUAAUGUCAUCUUCAUCAUUAUACAGUGUCAACGUUCACUGCAACGGUGAAACUUUCGAGUCUGAGCUUCAUGGUUUUUGUUUUCGAAACACUGAUACCAUUAGAAUCACGAUCAAGAGAAAUGCAACCUUUUUGCAUUUGAAAAAAAGAAUACAAUCCUUUAUAGGAUCGGGUAUUGUGUCAAAGAUCACAUAUCAAAAUCCAAUAUUUUUUUAGAAUAGUCAAUGCAAGUAUUUCCCCCUUAAGGUACGAGACGAUGAAGAUGUUGAAUACAUGUUUGUUAGUCAUGAACAUUCAAGCAAUAACUGUAUCGAGUUGUAAAUUACUAUACAACCAUGUAUACCAUCUCAACAGUCUCAACUAACCGAUCAGGAUGAAGCUGGUGAAGAUGAUGCACAAUGGUCAGAUGAACUCAACCCAGAAGCAGAAGUAGAAGUCGACGUUAUUGAUGAAGAAGAAGAGGAGACCGAGAUACAAGUUGAUCACAUGCUGAACAACGACGAUGAAGAUGAUGAUCAACCACCACCAAUACCUCCUAGUCAUGUCUACAAUCCGCCUCAACAUAUGACAAAUAUGGAUCUUCACGACGAUGAAACAUCCAACAGUGUCUUCUAUAAUCCGUAUCCGAGAUCAGAAGGCGAAUUAAAGGUGUGAGACAUGUUUCGUACCAAAGAAGAAUGUGUUUUGGCAAUCAAAAAAUUCCACAUGAACAACUCUGCUGACUUUACAGUGAAACGCACUAAUUCUAGAAGGUAUGUUAUCGAAUGUCAUAACAUGCUUUUUAAGUUUCGUUUGGCUGCGUCUUACAAGAAGAAAAACGACUCUUGGGAGAUUGCUUCAAUAAACUCACCACACAGUUGCAUUGCAACUAACGUUGAACAAGAUCACCGUAAACUGAGCACAUCUUUGAUAUGUCAAGACAUUCUUCCAUUGGUAAAUAAAGACCCAUCAGUGAAGGUGAGUAUAAUUAUAUCCCAUAUCAGAACAACAUAUAAUUAUACUCCAUCUUACAAGAAAGCAUGGAUUGCGAGGACAAAGGUUGUUGAACAGGUUUUCGGCAACUGGGAGGAUUCAUUCAAGGAAUUGCCACGGUUUUUAUGGGCACUAAAAACAUAUGUCCCAGGAACUGUGGCAAUUAUGGAGACAGUGCCAACAAUGAUGCCAGACGGAACCUGUGUUACAGGUAAUAGAAUAUUUCACCGUCUCUUUUGGGAAUUUGACCUGUGCAUCAAAGGUUUCGCAUUCUGCAAACCUAUUAUUCAAAUUGAUGGCACUUGGUUAUACGGAAAAUACAAGGGUACUUUGCUCAUGGCGGUUGGACAAGACGGUAACAACAAUGUCUUUCCCAUUGCCUUUACUCUUGUUGAAGGUGAAACGGCUGGUGGAUGGGGUUUCUUUCUUCGACAUCUCAGAACGCAUGUGGCUCCACAAGCCAAUCUCUGUUUGAUUUUUGAUAGACAUGCUGCCAUUGAGAGUGCCUACAACAACCAUGACAACGGAUGGCAUGAUACUCCUUCUACACAUGUCUACUGUAUCAGACACAUUGCACAAAACUUCAUGCGUGCUAUAAAAGAUAAGAAUCUUCGCAAGAAGGUGGUGAAUGCUGGGUAUGCUUUAACUCAACCGUCAUUUCAAUAUUUAUCAGCUGUUUUGUACUGAUGUUUGUUCGUGAAAACUCGUUUAACCAAGAACUUAAUGAUAUUAACUGAUUGAAUGUUACAGAAAUACAUGUUACAAAAAAGCAUGUAACUUAAGACUAGAUGAUGCCUCUUGAUUGGGACCAUUUAGUUUUUUGUUGUGUCCUGGUUGACAGACAGAUACUACAUAAUCUUAUCAUUUUAUUUGUGAAAUCCUCUGUUCUGAUAUGUGUCUCUGUUUGGACCUUCCUUUCUUCUUUUCUACCAUCUCUUUAUGUGACCAACAAUAUCUCUUCUAUGGAGCCAGUAAUCCUGCCAUUGGUAGUACUGAGAAGCUUUGAGUAUGAUACAUUCAGAUGGUGUUGGCCUUGUACCAAUUCAGAUAAUGGUGUUGUAAGUGUCUUGACGAGUAUAAGCGGAUUGCUGCAUGACAUGGAGCAAGGUAUGCGGACAAGGCCUGAAAUUUCCAACAAUGCGCACCAACUUCUAUUGAGCAACAGCGCAUAGGCUAAUUUUGCCGUCUCCCGCUCGGUUGUUGCCCAUGGUACUCCUGGACGCUGACAUUUUGUCCUAUGAGCGUCAGAAGACUGUUACAACGUGUGUGGUAGCUUUGAUGCUCUCCUCUUUCAUGACCUUCCAUCCAAACACUCACUAAUAUACUAAUGCGCCCGGACAUUAACACUGCACUCAUCUUUCACCUCUGUUGCGAACAUAGAAGCCAACCUAUCAAUAGGUUGAUAUUAUUACCAAGGCGGUUAUCGGCAGAUUUCGAAUCCUUGAAAAAACCCGUCCAUGCAUUCCACAAUGUUUGGUUUUUUCAUGUUGGCCCCAUUGACAAAACACCUUUCAAAAUGCUCUUGUCACGGCUCUAACUGGUAUGUUAUUUAUCCAUCUCCCUGCGUCUUCAUUAGAACAGUCUAAUUUCAUCACGUAAUAUUGAAAUGGACGGAUUUGAGUUAAAGCAUACCAAGCAUUCACCACCUUCUUUGCGAAGAUUCUUAUCUUUUUAUAGCAGCAUGAGUUUUGAUGCAAUGUGUCUGAUACAAGUAGACAUGUGAUAGAAGGAGUAUCGUGCCAAUCCAGUUGUCAUGGUUUUGUAGCCACUCUCNNNNNNNNNNNNNNNNNNNNNNNNNNNNNNNNNNNNNNNNNNNNNNNNNNNNNNNNNNNNNNNNNNNNNNNNNNNNNNNNNNNNNNNNNNNNNNNNNNNNNNNNNNNNNNNNNNNNNNNNNNNNNNNNNNNNNNNNNNNNNNNNNNNNNNNNNNNNNNNNNUAUCAGAACAGAGAUGGAUUCCACAGAUAAAAUGAUAAGAUUAUGUAGUAUCUGUCGUCAACCAGGACACAACAAAAACAACUGUCCCAAUCAAGGAGCAUCAUCUAGGUCUUAAGCUUUUUGUAACAUUGUAUUUCUGUAACAUUCAAUCAUUAUAUAUCAUUAAGUUCUUGUUACAACGAGUUUCACAACAAACAUCAGUACAAAACAUCUGAAAACAUAAAUAAUUCUAACUGAUUACAACAAUCAAAUUAAUGUCGUCUCGAUCGAACAUCAUUUCCCUAGCAUCCUUAUCAGUCUUCAUUCGCACCCAACCAAAGAUACUGUCAAGUCUCUCAAUACUUAUGAUUUUUUCCCCUUUUGGUAUUUUCCCAUCUAACCAUCGAACCAGCUCCCUCUUCAGUUGAUCGAACGUGGUGAUGUUCCAAAACAACAUCAGCAUUUAAGGUUUGUCUCUCGCAUAAAUCACCUUACCGUAUCAGCGACGAACACCAAACAUGAUAGCCAAAUGAUUAUAUGAGCUGUGUAACAAUUGGUCACACAACGCAUCUAUUUAUAAGACAAAAUAGCCAUUUUAUGAGGGAGUCGCCAAUUGAAUUGGCGACUCCUCUUAAAACCUACACAUAGGCGCCAAUUGGAUUGGAUAGGGCACCUGCCCUAGCCAAUCUAAUUGGCGCCUCCAUUCAAGUUUUAAGAAGAGUCGCCAUAUGAACAACUUUCAUGUUCAUCAAAAAUCCAUUUGAAACUUGGAAGGUCAUCAUUCAUUUCAAAACAUUAUAGGUCAUUUUGACUGAAACCCUAAUUUUGGGUCAACUUCCCAAGGACCUAACUCACUCAUUUUUUAUUCUUUUGAGGUGGGACCAAGUGCAUUGGAAAGUUUGAGAUGUCUAAUUCAAUUGUUAUGUUGGACAAAAUUUCAUAAUUCUAAAAUAAACACAUGUGAUAAUACAAAACAUUAUAGGUCAGAUAACAGUUGAAAUGUGAAAAAGUCCAACUUCAAGUGCCCAUAACUUUCUCAUAAAAAUUCCAAAUGAUGCAAAAUUUAUGUCCAAAUUCAUUGUCAUGAAAAGAUAUACAACUUUAUUGUUGGAGGUUUUGUCAUUUGAGGCUUUUAUGAAGGAGUCGCCAAUUGAAUUGGAGACUCCUCUUAAAACCUACACAUAGGCGCCAAUUGGAUUGGCGCCUCCAUUCAAGUUUUAAGAGGAGUCUAAAAGUGGGGUAUUUUAGGAUUUUUUUUGAAACCAGGGGUAUUUUGGGAAUUUCCUUGAAAAACUGGGUUAUUUCGGUAAAAAAACCUAAAUCAUAUGAUAAAGUUUUGCAUAGUUUCCUAAGUAGUAUUAAAAUUAGUCGGUUGUUAUUACUAAUUUUUUAGCUGAGUGUAUUAUUUACAUGAUUAAUAAUUUUUGCGGAUAAUAUAAAAGUUAGUUGAUGUUAUUGAUUACAUUUUUCACAAAUUAUAAAAGGUGUUCUUGAGAAAGUCAGAUUCAAGUGGAAAUA